UUAAGUGACGAAGCGUACACGGUGGAUGCCCUGGCAGUCAGAGGCGAUGAAGGGCGUGCUAAUCUGCGAUAAGCGUCGGUAAGGUGAUAUGAACCGUUAUACCCGACGAUACCCGAAUGGGGAAACCCGGUGCAAUCCGUUGCAUCAUCGCAACAUGAAUACAUAGUGUUGCGAGGCGAACCGGGGGAACUGAAACAUCUAAGUACCCCGAGGAAAAGAAAUCAACCGAGAUUCCCCCAGUAGCGGCGAGCGAACGGGGAGGAGCCCGGAACCAUCAUCAGCGGUUGCGUCAGUGGAAGCGUCUGGAAAGUCGCACGAUACAGGGUGAAAGUCCCGUACACGAAGAUGCAGCCGUUGUGAGUUCGAAGAGUAGGGCGGGACACGUGGUAUCCUGUCUGAAUAUGGGGGGACCAUCCUCCAAGGCUAAAUACUCCUGACUGACCGAUAGUGAACCAGUACCGUGAGGGAAAGGCGAAAAGAACCCCGGCGAGGGGAGUGAAACAGAACCUGAAACCGUGUACGUACAAGCAGUGGGAGCCUCAUUUAUGGGGUGACUGCGUACCUUUUGUAUAAUGGGUCAGCGACUUGUAUUCUGUAGCAAGGUUAACCGUAUAGGGGAGCCGAAGGGAAACCGAGUCUUAACCGGGCGUUAAGUUGCAGGGUACAGACCCGAAACCCGGUGAUCUAGCCAUGGGCAGGUUGAAGGUUGGGUAACACUAACUGGAGGACCGAACCGACUGAUGUUGAAAAAUCAGCGGAUGACCUGUGGCUGGGGGUGAAAGGCCAAUCAAACCGGGAGAUAGCUGGUUCUCCCCGAAAGCUAUUUAGGUAGCGCCUCGUGAAUUCAUCUCCGGGGGUAGAGCACUGUUUCGGCUAGGGGGCCAUCCCGGCUUACCAACCCGAUGCAAACUGCGAAUACCGGAGAAUGUUAUCACGGGAGACACACGGCGGGUGCUAACGUCCGUCGUGAAGAGGGAAACAACCCAGACCGCCAGCUAAGGUCCCAAAGUCAUGGUUAAGUGGGAAACGAUGUGGGAAGGCCCAGACAGCCAGGAUGUUGGCUUAGAAGCAGCCAUCAUUUAAAGAAAGCGUAAUAGCUCACUGGUCGAGUCGGCCUGCGCGGAAGAUGUAACGGGGCUAAACCAUGCACCGAAGCUGCGGCAGCGGACGUAUCACUUAAGGCGCUUAACGUGACGGCGAAGCCGGCACGUUCAAGCCACAACAACGUUGAGUCGGUCUGCGAACUGACAACAACGAAGCGUCUUAAGGAUACGUCCGUUGGGUAGGGGAGCGUUCUGUAAGCCGUUGAAGGUGGACUGUGAGGUCUGCUGGAGGUAUCAGAAGUGCGAAUGCUGACAUAAGUAACGAUAAAGCGGGUGAAAAGCCCGCUCGCCGGAAGACCAAGGGUUCCUGUCCAACGUUAAUCGGGGCAGGGUGAGUCGACCCCUAAGGCGAGGCCGAAAGGCGUAGUCGAUGGGAAACAGGUUAAUAUUCCUGUACUCGGUGUUACUGCGAAGGGGGGACGGAGAAGGCUAUGUUGGCCGGGCGACGGUAGUCCCGGUUUAAGCGUGUAGGUGUGUGUUCCAGGCAAAUCCGGUUCACUUUACACUGAGGCGUGAUGACGAGGCACCACGGUGCUGAAGCAACAAAUGCCCUGCUUCCAGGAAAAGCCUCUAAGCAUCAGGUAACACAGAAUCGUACCCCAAACCGACACAGGUGGUCAGGUAGAGAAUACCAAGGCGCUUGAGAGAACCCGGGUGAAGGAACUAGGCAAAAUGGUGCCGUAACUUCGGGAGAAGGCACGCUGGUGUGUAGGUGAAGUCACUUGCUGACGGAGCUGAAGCCAGUCGAAGAUACCAGCUGGCUGCAACUGUUUAUUAAAAACACAGCACUGUGCAAACACGAAAGUGGACGUAUACGGUGUGACGCCUGCCCGGUGCCGGAAGGUUAAUUGAUGAGGUUAUCCGUAAGGAGAAGCUUUUGAUCGAAGCCCCGGUAAACGGCGGCCGUAACUAUAACGGUCCUAAGGUAGCGAAAUUCCUUGUCGGGUAAGUUCCGACCUGCACGAAUGGCGUAAUGAUGGCCAGGCUGUCUCCACCCGGGACUCAGUGAAAUUGAACUCGCUGUGAAGAUGCAGUGUACCCGCGGCAAGACGGAAAGACCCCGUGAACCUUUACUACAGCUUGACACUGAACACUGAGCCUUGAUGUGCAGGAUAGGUGGGAGGCUUUGAAGCGUGGACGCCAGUCUGCGCGGAGCCAUCCUUGAAAUACCACCCUUUAAUGUUUGGUGUUCUAACCUUGCGCCGUGAUCCGGCGCGGGGACAGUGUCUGGUGGGUAGUUUGACUGGGGCGGUCUCCUCCCAAAGCGUAACGGAGGAGCACGAAGAUUGGCUAAUCACGGUCGGACAUCGUGAGGUUAGUGCAAAGGCAUAAGCCAGUUUGACUGCGAGAGUGACGGCUCGAGCAGGUGCGAAAGCAGGUCUUAGUGAUCCGGUGGUUCUGAAUGGAAGGGCCAUCGCUCAACGGAUAAAAGGUACUCCGGGGAUAACAGGCUGAUACCGCCCAAGAGUUCAUAUCGACGGCGGUGUUUGGCACCUCGAUGUCGGCUCAUCACAUCCUGGGGCUGUAGCAGGUCCCAAGGGUACGGCUGUUCGCCGUUUAAAGUGGUACGCGAGCUGGGUUUAGAACGUCGUGAGACAGUUCGGUCCCUAUCUGCCGUGGGCGCUGGAGAAUUGAGAGGGUUUGCUCCCAGUACGAGAGGACCGGAGUGAACGCACCACUGGUGUACGGGUUGUCAUGCCAAUGGCACUGCCCGGUAGCUAAGUGCGGAACGGAUAAGCGCUGAAAGCAUCUAAGCGCGAAACCAGCCUCGAGAUGAGUUCUCCCUGAGUCCUGGCGACUCCUGAAGGGACGUUGAAGACGACGACGUUGAUAGGCCGGAUGUGUAAGCGCAGCGAUGCGUUGAGCUGACCGGUACUAAUGACCCGAGAGGCUUAACCUU
This 3003-nucleotide ribosomal RNA is filed under the name Erwinia sp. 9145. Its description in RNAcentral is "bacterial LSU rRNA". It matches the Rfam family "Bacterial large subunit ribosomal RNA". Lineage: Bacteria; Pseudomonadati; Pseudomonadota; Gammaproteobacteria; Enterobacterales; Erwiniaceae. The record is from RNAcentral.